Molecule: ribosomal RNA, 253 nt
Filed under: uncultured bacterium
Lineage: Bacteria
Description: partial 16S ribosomal RNA
Rfam family: Bacterial small subunit ribosomal RNA
Source: RNAcentral
UACGGAGGGUGCGAGCGUUGUCCGGAAUCACUGGGCGUAAAGGGCGCGUAGGUGGCAUGGGAAGUCUUCGGUGAAAGCUCAGGGCUCAACCCUGAGUCGGCCGGGGAUACUCCCGAGCUCGAGUGUGGUAGAGGCCAAUGGAAUUCCGGGUGUAGCGGUGGAAUGCGUAGAGAUCCGGAAGAACACCGGUGGCGAAGGCGGUUGGCUGGGCCACAACUGACACUGAUGCGCGACAGCGUGGGGAGCAAACAGG